GAUCUGAGAAAAGAGAAUCUUGAAGGAGCUGUGAUCCCAGCAUGUGAUUUUCUUCUCUGAAAUUCAGCGAGAUGUAUCACUCAUCAGGCUUCGAAGGAAUUAGAGAAGUUUUGGGACAGUUGUAAAUAGAGGUGCUAUGAACAGAUGCUUUCAUUUAUCCUGAGGAUGGCUGACUUGCUUAGAAAAGGAAUGCAGCCCGUGAAAAGAAGGGGCUUUCUACAGCUGUCUUUAUUUCUGAACUCUAUUGCCUUGGGGAAACUUUAUUGUUAAAAUGAAAAUUCCAUGUGUGCGGUUUUACUAAUACAUAUCUACAGUUGUAGAGUUCAAAAACACUUGAUGAUGUAAAUCAAUACUGCGUAUACUUUGUAAAAAAGUGAAUCUCAUCUUUUAAAAUGUCCUUAAGAGAAUGUGUUCAUUUUUAUGACAGAUAUUACAGCCUUUGCAAAUACUAAGCAGAUGACUGUGAGACCCAUUUAAAUCACCUGUCCUGUACUCUGGCUUCCCCUUGAGAAAUCUGUUCAUAAGAUGUAGUUUGCAUUUUAGUAAAGAAGAAAGCUUUAAUCAUGUUACUUGGGGAGUGAAAGGACUUUAUUAUUCAGCCUGUGUACAUUUUCCAAAUUUAAGAGUCUGGUGGAAUAGUUGUUCCAUCCUGCAUUUCACAAGUUCUAGCUGUGGUCUGUUUACAGAUGUGGUCUACAGUAUUUAAAGGAGCCAGUGUUUUUUGUUUUUCUAUUUUGGAUUAGAAUUUGUUCUCAUAGAUCAAGAGAUUUUAAGUUUUUGCAUCAUUUUAUCUAGUACGGGAAAAGAAGCUAAGAGAACAAACUGAACCAGAGGUAU
Long non-coding RNA from Bos taurus (domestic cattle), 837 nucleotides. NCBI's taxonomy places the organism in Eukaryota, Metazoa, Chordata, Mammalia, Artiodactyla, Bovidae. The record is from Ensembl.